Long non-coding RNA from Orcinus orca (killer whale), 2890 nucleotides. RefSeq lists it as uncharacterized. The transcript is spliced from 5 exons. NCBI's taxonomy places the organism in Eukaryota, Metazoa, Chordata, Mammalia, Artiodactyla, Delphinidae. The record is from RefSeq and is a predicted model, not a curated record.
CUACUUCCGGGGGCCGCGGCCGGCGUGGGAACUGCGGCUGGCCCCGCCCCACGCUGGCGUCCCCGGCGGCCCGCCCCCUGCGGCGUGAGCGCGCGCGCCCGGCCGGACGUGCGCUCACCCGCGCGUCUGCGCGUGUGUUGGGUGUGCCGGUUGGGAGCUGCGCGCCGCUGCUGUGUGCUUAUCCUGGUUAGAAUUCUCGAGUAUCCGAGCUCUUGUCCCUCAUUUUACAUAAAACCAGAGUAACUGCACCUGACAUCUAUAUGAACCUGCUGUCUCUCACUCCAGGCCAGCCACCUUCAGGAACGCCCAGUUUACUAGGAGCUCUAGUGUAGGCACCAAGCAUCCGCUGGACAUCUUUGACUCAGUGGGCUUCAUCGUCAUGGCCAUCACAGGUCCUUGGAGAACACACAGGCUUUCCAGUGGAGUCAGACACUCCCAGCUUCCUGGAAGAAGCCACUGAGGCCACACUUGAUUACAACUCAAUUUACACAGAGAGCUUUUUCAGUGAAGAUUAUACAGAUAUCACUGGUGUUUAUCAUGACUGGAGUACCAGACCAGCCCAACACCUCCUUGGGAAGUGACACUGGAGAGAAUCAAAGAGGGAAAGCUCAGAAUACAGAGGACAAUGUGGAGAGGAAAUCAACACCUAGACUUGGCAGAUCAAUUAAGAACUGGCAGUGAGGGGAAGGAUGCUGAGGAUGUCAGUCCUGCAGGUAAGACAAUGACUGCCCUGCCCUCUUUGACAACAGCUAUGUUUAGGAAACAAGCAAUAUUUACUUUGUUCUUAAGUGUGGGGCUAUUUUGAAUUCUACUUUAACAUGUAUACAUGCAUCUCAUUAACUAUAGUAAAAAUUGGAUGGUAAUUUAAAUACAUGCUAUAAAUUCAAUAGUUGCAGUAUGUUUGAAAUAAUUACUAUAAUGGUAUAAUGGUUAUGGUUUUUGUUUGUUUUUUUGCCCGUGCCGUGCAGCAUGCCAGAUCUUAGUUCCCUGACCAGGGAUCGAACCUGCGCCCCCUGCACUUGGAAGCUUGGAGUCUUAACCACUGGAUGGUCAGGGAAGUCCCCAAUAAUGGUUAUGUUUUUAAAGAAAAAGAGUCCUUGGUUUUUAAAAAUAUGUAUUGAAAUAUUUAUGGGUGAAAUAAUACUAUGUCUUGGAUUUGAUUUAACCUAAUUCAGAGAUGGAAGAAGAGGGUGAGAAUCAAACUAAAAUAAGACUGGCCAUGUGCUGGUAACUACUGAAGCUGAGUGAUGGGCUCAUUAUACCUCCUCUCUACUGUGAUAUAUGUUUGACAUUUUCCAUACUAUAAAAGGUAAAAAUACUGUCGGUAAAAUAAAAUGCUUCACAAGCUAGCUUCUUUCCUCAGUUAUCUCAGUUACUUGUAGAAAUUCUACCCACUCUGACUUUAGGUGCUAUCACUUGCCUGGCGCAUUUUCCCAAUCUGUUCCCACAACAUUUGCUUGCCGUGCAAUGACAAACUUUUAAAUCAACGUUGAAGUGGAUUUCAUAAUGAUCGAAUUCUAAGAAAUUUUCAAAGAUUGGAAUUUUCAGCUUUUCCACAGAGGAAAACUACUAUAGUCUCAAAACUACCAUAAGUCUCCCAUACUGGAUGGACCAGUAAAGCAUUUCUUAUAGAAAAACUGAACUCAGAUUUGUUAAGUACUUACAAUAUGUCAGGUAUUAUUUGAGUUCACUAUUUUUUAUUUAACGAAGAUUGAUUUAAUUAGAAAUACAUAUUAUUAUCUCCAUCUUAGAGAUGAGAAAGCUUGACCUUGCCCAGGUCAUACUGCUAACAUGUUUGGAGCCAGGAUCUCAGUCUGCAGAUGGAUAAAUCCAAAGCCUGAGUUCUUUCUGCCGCAUAUCCUUGCUUUGUGGUCCAGCAGUAUAGAUACCCACUUGGAAGCUUGUUAGAGAUGCACUCUCAGGCUCCAUGCCAGUUCUACUAAAUCAGAAUCUGCAUUUAACAAGGUUCUAAGGAAUUCAUGUGCACAUUUAAACCAUUUCAACGUUGAGAAACCCUGCUCUACAAAACACCUAAUAAACUUAUUUCAAAUAAGAAUAACAGUAAAUAUUUCUGCUGAGUCCUCACUAUAUGUCAGAUUCCAUUUGUUUACCUCACAACUCUAUUAGAGGUGAGGAAACAGGCUUUACAGUUUAAACAACUCCAGGGUCACAUAAUAAGUGGCAGAGUCUAGAUUUGAACUCAAAUUCGUCUGAUUCUGGAGCCUGGGCUGUACCCAUGACCCCAUGCACCUCACUGCAAACGCUGAAUCCAAACACUUUAUUUCGUCUAAAUGAUGCAAAUCAGCUGUCUUUUUCUUUCUUUCCUUUCUUUUCUUUUUUUUUUUUGGCUGCAUUGGGUCUUCAUUGCUGUGCGGGCUUUCCCUUGUGGCGAGGGGGGCUACUCUUUGUUUCGGUGUGUGGGCUUCUCAUUGUGGUGGCUUCUCUCAUUGCGGAGCACGGGCUCUAGGCAUGCGGGCUUCAGUAGUUGCAGCAUGCGGGCUCAGUAGUUGCAGCACGUGGGCUCUAGAGCUAUAGGGCUUCAGUAGUUGCUGAGUAUGGGCUCAGUAGCUCCACAGCAUGUGGAAUCUUCCUGGACCAGGGAUCAAACCCGUGUCCCCUGCAUUAGCAGGCAGAUUCUUAACCACUGUGCCACCAGGGAAGUCCCUGUAAAUCAGCUGUUUUAUCUCUUGAUUUAUCAUUAACAUUCUUUAAUCCAAUACUUAGGUUUGAUGGUGUGGACAGAGUCUAAAAUGUCAGACUCAAUAUAAUAUUGCUGCUAUUUAAAAGUAAAAUUUUAGGGCUUCCCUGGUGGCGCAGUGGUUGAGAGUCCGCCUGCCGAUGCAGCGGACACGGGUUCGUGCCCCGGUCCGGGAAGAUCCCACAUGCCGCG